GGAUGUGAGGGCGAUCUGGCUGAGACAUCUGUCACCCCAUUGAUGGCUAGGGGUGAUUCGGCUGAUCUGGCUGGUGUCCCCUUCCUCCCUCACCACUCCAUGUGUGUCCCUCCCAAAGCUGUGCAAGAGGACAGCCUUCCCCCAAUAGAGACAGACAGGUCUUCCGUAUAUGAGUAGCUGCUAGAACCUCCAAACAAGCUCUCCAGAAGAGGCAAAUAAAAUAAAUCCUGACUCAAGGGGUAAAAUGAAUAUCAUGAAUGAGCAUACCUAU
Unclassified non-coding RNA from Erinaceus europaeus (western European hedgehog), 271 nucleotides. Its record names the gene 7SK. It matches the Rfam family "7SK RNA". Rfam says of the family: 7SK was discovered as an abundant small nuclear RNA in the mid-70s but a possible function has only recently been suggested. The record is from Ensembl. Lineage: Eukaryota; Metazoa; Chordata; Mammalia; Eulipotyphla; Erinaceidae.